AGCCUGGUUGGCCGAGUGGUUAAGGCACUGUGGGGGCUUACCAACCCGGGAGCGUGCACCCAUAAGGGAAGGCCCCGAAGGUGUUGGCGAGUCCUCCAGAGACCCCUGGUUCGAAUCCAGGAUCGGGCGUC
Molecule: transfer RNA, 131 nt
Filed under: Penicillium salamii
Lineage: Eukaryota; Fungi; Ascomycota; Eurotiomycetes; Eurotiales; Aspergillaceae
Description: tRNA-Undet
Rfam family: tRNA
About the family: Transfer RNA (tRNA) molecules are approximately 80 nucleotides in length. Their secondary structure includes four short double-helical elements and three loops (D, anti-codon, and T loops). Further hydrogen bonds mediate the characteristic L-shaped molecular structure. tRNAs have two regions of fundamental functional importance: the anti-codon, which is responsible for specific mRNA codon recognition, and the 3' end, to which the tRNAs corresponding amino acid is attached (by aminoacyl-tRNA synthetases). tRNAs cope with the degeneracy of the genetic code in two manners: having more than one tRNA (with a specific anti-codon) for a particular amino acid; and 'wobble' base-pairing, i.e. permitting non-standard base-pairing at the 3rd anti-codon position.
Source: RNAcentral